UAUAAAUAAAAAAUUAAUUUUAUAAUAAAAAUAAUUUAUAACGUUAACCUGAUAUUAUUGAAAUUAUAUUAAUAUUCCUUUGUUUUAUGUGUGUAAUGAUCUUACCCAUAUUUUUAACAGGAAUGCCCAUCUCUGAUGAAGAAACUAGUAACAAGGAGUCAAAUCAAAAUGAUGGACCAGCAAAAGAUAUAGAAAUUGAUACAUCUGAUUCUUCAGAUGAGAAUGAUGGACCAUUAAAAAGUUUACUACGCGAAAUGUUAAAUGUCUCAAAUGAGGAAAAUUAUCCCAAAACAUGCAAGUGCUUCUUGUUAAUUUUGAGGAACAUGUUAAUAAAAAUGGUAAAAUUAGUGCUUUCAAAGCGAAUGAAAUUUUAAACAAUUUAAAUGGUACCAAUAUUGAAAGAAACGCUGAGGACUUCAAUUUAGGAGAUGAUGAAAUGAUUGAUAUCUCAGAAAAACUUAUGUUCAUCUUUAAUUCUUUGAUACUUUUUGAAGAAGCUUUUUACAAACUAUUACGUAAUGGCGACGAAAAAAAUAAUGGCUUCGUGUCAAGAGAGUAUGCAAAAGAUGUCAUUUUGAAAUGCGAAUUGUUUGGUGGCCGAUUAAAAGGCUUUCCCCUUAAUAAGCUACUCGAAAAGUAUACAAAUGAGCAAGAUCAAUUCAAUUACUUAGAGAUGAAAAAAAAUUCAUUAGAUGAUGUUGAGGUAGAUAAAUCUAAUGUUUAUUCUUAUAAUUAUGAGAAAAAAAAAUGGGUACGUAAAUACAAAUUUACUCCUACUCAUUGUUUGUAAAAAUAUAGUAAUACUUUAUUGAUAAUAAUUGUUCCAUAAUAUAGUUAUUUUAAAUGUUUAAAUUAAUUUUCAUAAAUUUAUAUUAGAUUUUUAAUAUUCAGAGAAAAUAUGUAUAAAUUGAGAUUUAUUAUCACAAUACUAUGUCAAAGUGACGAUAUAAAUACAAAAUCAAACAUAUCAUUAUUCUAAUAACAGAACUCUAAAAAAUAAUUUUGAAAACUAGCGAAAGAAUGGGACAAUUUUAUGUUAUUUAAUGCUUAUUAACCUUUACACAAAACUCCCUUAUAAUGCUAGUAUACCUACAAUGAUGAUUUUUUUUUUAACUUAAUCUUUGUGUUUUAUUCAUGAAAAUAUAAAAUUGGAAAAAUUAGUAUACAUGUGUAUUAUUUAUACAAAUAUAAUGUGUUUUAAAUUGUAGUAUCACAUUUUAAUAUAUGUAAUAAUUAAUACUUAUAUUUAAUAAAAUGUAUCACCAAAUCAGUGUUCCCCCGUGGAUAAGAUGAAUAAUAAAAUAAUACCCUUACACAAGAUUUAACCACCCUUUUACGCAUUUCAUAAAACGCCCACGUAAAAAAUUCUAUCACAUUAAGAAAUCAAAUACAGCAAAAAAUAUUUCAAGAAUCUCACCAGAGAUCGCUAAACCAGUUUGCGGGCUAUAAAAAGGCCAUUUUCACCAAAUUCGGGCGCUUCUCUUACGGUGGUUCUUUUAGGAGGUGCUUCUUUUAUGGUUUGUUUCUUCUACGGUGGUUAUAUAGGGUUUCUGAAUAUCUCUCUAGCGGACACUGGGAAGCCUUGCCAUUCUAUCUCUGCAUCUCUACGGCUCUCUGGAAUUCUGGAACUCUGAACCAAGAUACAUAAAGUAAAUGUGCGUGAGUGUAUGUUUCAUUCUUAGUUACAAUUCUAUAUAAAAUCUGCACUAUUUUUACCCUCUUUCGUAAUUACUGAAAAUAUUACACAUCUUAUUUUUGGUCGAAUACUUUUGGUGAUAUAAAUAUUCUA
RNA transcript from Daktulosphaira vitifoliae (grape phylloxera), 1789 nucleotides. RefSeq lists it as uncharacterized. The record is from RefSeq and is a predicted model, not a curated record. The transcript has 7 exons. Lineage: Eukaryota; Metazoa; Arthropoda; Insecta; Hemiptera; Phylloxeridae.